AGUGAACGCUGGCGGUAGGCCUAACACAUGCAAGUCGAACGGCAGCACAGUAAGAGCUUGCUCUUACGGGUGGCGAGUGGCGGACGGGUGAGGAAUACAUCGGAAUCUACUUUUUCGUGGGGGAUAACGUAGGGAAACUUACGCUAAUACCGCAUACGACCUACGGGUGAAAGCAGGGGAUCUUCGGACCUUGCGCGAUUGAAUGAGCCGAUGUCGGAUUAGCUAGUUGGCGGGGUAAAGGCCCACCAAGGCGACGAUCCGUAGCUGGUCUGAGAGGAUGAUCAGACACACUGGAACUGAGACACGGUCCAGACGCCUACGGGAGGCAGCAGUGGGGAAUAUUGGACAAUGGGCGCAAGCCUGAUCCAGCCAUACCGCGUGGGUGAAGAAGGCCUUCGGGUUGUAAAGCCCUUUUGUUGGGAAAGAAAAGCAGCAGGUUAAUACCCCGCUGUUCUGACGGUACCCAAAGAAUAAGCACCGGCUAACUUCGUG
RNAcentral lists this ribosomal RNA (492 nucleotides) under uncultured bacterium. Its description in RNAcentral is "partial 16S ribosomal RNA". It matches the Rfam family "Bacterial small subunit ribosomal RNA", at positions 29 to 507 of the family's 1533-position model. The record is from RNAcentral.